This 382-nucleotide ribosomal RNA is filed under the name uncultured eukaryote. RNAcentral describes it as "partial 18S ribosomal RNA". It matches the Rfam family "Eukaryotic small subunit ribosomal RNA", at positions 592 to 975 of the family's 1831-position model. The record is from RNAcentral.
CAAUAGCGUAUAUUAAUGUUGUUGCAGUUAAAAAGCUCGUAGUUGGAUUUCUGCGCCGCGCAGCUCGGUCCGCCGCAAUGCGGUGCGACUGUGGCUGGAGCGUCGCAUCCUUGUGGAGACCUUUGAUGCCAUUGAUUUGGUGUCUUAUGGGAACCGCAUCGUUUACUGUGAAAAAAUUAGAGUGUUCAAAGCAGGCAUACGCCGUGAAUACAUUAGCAUGGAAUAAUAAGAUAGGACUUUGGUUCUAUUUUGUUGGUCGGAGGCCAAGGUAAUGAUUAAUAGGGAUAGUUGGGGGUAUUCAUAUUUAAUUGUCAGAGGUGAAAUUCUUGGAUUUAUGAAAGAUGAACUUAUGCGAANGNAUUUAGNAAGGAUGUUUNCAUUA